CCUACGGGGGGCAGCAGUGGGGAAUAUUGCACAAUGGGGGAAACCCUGAUGCAGCGACGCCGCGUGAGCGAUGAAGUAUUUCGGUAUGUAAAGCUCUAUCAGCAGGGAAGAAAAUGACGGUACCUGACUAAGAAGCACCGGCUAAAUACGUGCCAGCAGCCGCGGUAAUACGUAUGGUGCAAGCGUUAUCCGGAUUUACUGGGUGUAAAGGGAGCGUAGACGGAGAGGCAAGUCUGAUGUGAAAACCCGGGGCUCAACCCCGGGACUGCAUUUGGAACUGUCAGGCUAGAGUGUCGGAGAGGAAAGCGGAAUUCCUAGUGUAGCGGUGAAAUGCGUAGAUAUUAGGAGGAACACCAGUGGCGAAGGCGGCUUUCUGGACUGUAACUGACGCUGAGGCUCGAAAGCUAGGGUAGCGAACGGGAUU
RNAcentral lists this ribosomal RNA (424 nucleotides) under uncultured Bacteroides sp. RNAcentral describes it as "bacterial SSU rRNA". It matches the Rfam family "Bacterial small subunit ribosomal RNA", at positions 338 to 779 of the family's 1533-position model. Lineage: Bacteria; Pseudomonadati; Bacteroidota; Bacteroidia; Bacteroidales; Bacteroidaceae. The record is from RNAcentral.